Cygnus olor (mute swan) is the source of this 4287-nucleotide long non-coding RNA. RefSeq lists it as uncharacterized. The record is from RefSeq and is a predicted model, not a curated record. NCBI's taxonomy places the organism in Eukaryota, Metazoa, Chordata, Aves, Anseriformes, Anatidae. The transcript is spliced from 2 exons.
GAGCCUCCAUCUUAGCGCUUAGCUGGGUGCUUACAUUGACCAUGUCUCGCCGGCUACCGCUAUGGGGACUUGGGGCGAAACGCGGAGGAAGUGUGGGACUAAAAAAAUAAAAAAUAAAAUAAAUAGAUGGAAAUGUCUUUCUAAGGAACUAGGUGAAGGCAGGAGGGAGCACGGAGAGGCAGGGCGAGGAAACCUGCCUCUCCUGUUAUCUUAUUGAUUCGCUUAAUCAGGGCUAAUGUGGGUGGAGAUGUUAAAUAGUAACCAAGCUCUUAUGGAAACCAAUCUGCAAGGUGCUGUUGCUGUAGCUAUAGUAACUGCUGCCAAGCUAGAAACUCAAACAUGGCUUUUACUGGACUCUUUUGGGGCUCCUGCUGCCAGCCGGUGUCAAGGCCGGGGCGGCGGAGGCCGGUGCUCCCCCCGGCUGCGGGGAGGUCGGCACCGCAGCGCCGCGGGCACCGCAGGGCUCGCGGCAUCGCCCGGCCGCGGUGGGGGAACAAAGGCGAGCGAGGGUGCAGCCACGUGGCGCCGGCCGGGGGAUGACAGAGCGGGGCUGGGGCAGAGCAGAGCCCGGCCAAGGGGUGAAAUCCCCCGGCUGUGGUUCGGGGUUUGUCCCCUCGGUGCCAAACCGGAGGGGUCGUUGGGGAUGGGGAUGCAGCGGCGGGAUGCAGGGUGGUACCCAGAGCACGGGGCUGGUGCGCGGCGUUUGCAGCUCGCUCCCCAUCUCCCUCUGCUCCCCAAAUCCCGCACCCCCUGUUUCUGAUGGCCUCCUUGCAGGAUGCUUUGUCUGCGCCCACUGAGCAGCGGGGAGAGCUGGCUGCCUUCCUGGGGUUCGUGGGGACCUGCGAUGGCCUGGAGUGACCCGUGGACAUCCGUGCUCCACCCAGGAGGACGUCUGGGACCUCACAGGCACAAGAGGGUGGUGGAGCCGUGGAGCGCUGCCGCAGCCCUAAAACCAGCUCACUUGGUUGGAUCUGAGUCCCGUGAAGCACAUGUUGUUGGAGCAGACCCCGCCGUAGGUGGGCGGGCAGGCUGAGCACGGCCUCCCCACCUUGUAGGGUGCCUCCCCGAUCCAGUUGCCCCUGGGAAGAGAGGAGAGCAGCAUCACCCCUGCGUGGCACCCAGCUCAGCUCGGCGCGGCCGGCUCGCCAUGCGCACUUACUUGAUGGCGUAGUUGCAGACGAGGAGGACGGCGCGGCGCCACGUGCUGCCCCAAACCCGCACGUUGCUGCAGGCGUGGAUGGCGCAGCCCAGCCUGUUGGAGGACGCCCACACCAUCUGUGCCAGGACAGAAAGCGGGUGGUCAGCCCCCAUCAGCUCCAGCUGCCGGGCAGGGACCGAGCCCCGACGGCCCGAAUUUCCUGGGGGAGAUGCCGUGCCCACCCUGGCACCGCUCGGCCACCCGAGGGUGGCUUCUGAAUGUCCCUUUUCUGUGCCCACCUGGUGCCAGGAUGCGCUGCCUUGGUGAGCUGAGUUAAACAAGCAGCGGGGUCUGGGUCGUGUCUGAUUUACCCAAAUGAACCACCAAAGCUCACCCUGAAGCACUGCCGGCGGAGGCUGCAGGGAGGUGAAACUCCUCCCAUGGGGACCAGAACCAGAAGGCUCCUCCUAAAGCCGCCGAGGGCUGAAUUUCUCCCUUAAAAAAUGUGUUUUGCCCAUUUGCAGCCCAGACAGCCCCCGAGACACCCCUGGGGAACCACACCGGGACUGAGGCAGCGCCGCGCUCCCAGACAGCCGCGCAAACAUCGGAGGGGCUCAGCCCCGAGGCGGGGAGGCAGAGGGAGGUUUGGAGGUUUUCCACCUCGUGCUGGCAAAGCCACAGCCGGAGGUGCCGCGGGAUGAAGGGGCUGCAUUCACGGGGCCGGGCAGCGCCAAGGAGCCGCUCUGCCACGGAGAUGAUUCAUGAUCGGCUGGUGCGGGAAGGGGCUGGUUGGUUCUUUUCUGCUCUUCACAGCCUUAGAGGUGUUAGGGGGGUAAUCAGGAGAAAGUGAGGGCAAAGCAGGGAAAAAAGCUCCUGGAGCAAGCUUUGUGAUUCGAACCGGACAGAAGCCGGGAUCUGGUCCCAGAGGAGGAGGAUGCAGAAACGCGCAUGCAGGGACCGCUGUGAGCACCUGCAGGGGUUCCAUCGCCCCCAGCAGAAAUCCAGACCCCCCCAUUCUGUGUGAGCUGGGGGCUCGGGGGGGGUCUCACCUGGGUGUAGUGGCUGCAGACGGAGCCGCUGCACUUGGAGGGGCAGCGGGGGUUGCACUCGCGGGGGUGCGGGAAGGAGUAGUGCUGCUGCUCGCGGUGCCACGACCGCACCAUGUCCACCACGGAGCGGUACCUGCAAAGGGGAGCCUGCGGUGUGGACGGGACGCCCCGCUGCAGGAACCAUUGCUCCCCAGGCCAGAAGCAGUGGCUCGGAAGAUCCGGCCCGCACCAGAGCUCCGAGCGGUGGGAGCCAGCUCCCGGGGGCUCCCUGCGGGGCCCUUACCUGCCCGAGUGGAUGGAGAGGUUCUGCCCCACGUACUUCAUCAGCUGGGGGGGGCCAUGGUCCCACACGCACUGCACGGCCCACGCCUCCGCCGCCCUGGCCAGCCGCUCGUCCCACACCUGGAGAGGGGGAAAAGAAAGGGCAGGUGGGGAUUUGGGCUGCUGGGGGCAGGCAGGUGGGGAAACCUUGUGUUCGCAGAGGGGGAUCUGAAACCCCCAGCAGCUCCUAAAACUUGGCCUGCACGUUGGUCUGGAAAAGAGCUGCGGGAAGGGGAGCACACCGCUCUGGGGACGAGCCUCAGCCAUGCCCAGGAGAGGGAUUUUGGAAGGCAGGGAUUUAGGCCAAGCACGAAGCAGCACAGGAUGCCCCGGGCACAUCUGACCUGCUGUGUGCUGAGCCUGCUGCUCCCCCAGCAGCAUCCAGGGACCUCCUGGCUGCUCCCACCUCCAUCCCAGCUCUGCUCUCCCAUCCUAGAGCCUUUAGGAACCAGCUCAGGAGCAGCGCACAGCACCACCUGCUCCCAGGUGGGAUGGAGACACCCGAGGCGCAUCCCCCUCUGCAUGUGUAGGAGCUUUCUGCUCCAGAAGGUACCAGAAAGGCCCUCCCUGGUCAGUGCUAGAGGAAGGAUGGGCACGUCAGGGUGCUCCAUGCUGUGAGGAGCUGGUCCAGCCCUGACCAGGUGGCUGAGGGCACUGAAGUGGGGCCAGCAGCUUUAUUCCCUCCCGCAGCAUCCCUGUGGGGCACCUGCAGACACGAGCGGGGUUGGGCAGCCUCCCUGCAUUGCUGGGGCUGCAGGAAAACCCAGCCUGCAGCAGGAGGAAUGGCCCCAGGGGCAGGGAAAUCAGGGACCCACAUCUGCUCUGUCAUGGGAUGCGCUGGGUCGCAUCCUGCACCCGCUCUGCCUCUCCUGGGGGAAAGCUCUGGGUGUGUGGGGGUCCGUCCUGCACCAGGGGUGCAAAACAUCCCCGGGACGAGCACUGAGCCGCAAAUCCCCAGCAGCCCCCUGCCCCGUGGCACGAGCGAUGCGCACUCACCAUGUACUCCAUGUUGGCGGCCGGGGGGGACACCUGCGCCCGCACCUGGUUGUGGUAGUCCAGGAUGGCGCUCAUGUCGCGGGGCGCCAGGUACCGGCGGCGGCGGCCGCGGGGCACCCCGGUGCCAGGAGCCGGCCCCGGCCCCGCGCUGCUGGGAGGGGACAGGAGCUCGGUGGCGUUGGGCAGCGCGAAGGAGCCGGACUCGUGCGCCAGCCAGCAGAGCACGCCGGUGAAGCAGAGGUGCAAGCGCAGCCGCGGCAUCGCAGCCCUGCCAGCUGGAACGCGGAGCAGAGCCCGAGUCAGGCUGCAAGAGAAAACACCGCCCGCACCGCUGCGCGCUGCCGUGCAAGCCCCCUGUCCCCAGAUAAGGUGGAAAUGGGUUUUCUUUUGUCCUUCCCGAAAUCAGUUUUGGAUUACCCCGCUGAUCACCCGCUGUUCCCGCGCGCUCGUCCCAGUAACUUCACCAGGAGCAGCAGGGAGAUGUCUUGCUUUUCUUGGUGUUUCUUUUAAGAAAAAAGCAGUACAGACUCUGCCCCAGUUUUUUCGGUUAUCCCACCUACCUGCCAGACAGGGCUAAUUAGGAGCAUGCAGAGCUACUCGCCCCGUCACUUCACAGGCGCUUGGCACGUAGAGAAAGUCCCGCGAACAAACAGAAAUCUCACACAGGUAAAGAAACACCCGGCAACUUUUAAAAGGAUCGGAGAGGAAUCCUAACGAGUCCUUAUCUUGGGGAGGGAGGGGGAGAAAAAUAAACCACCGCAAAACCAGAAUUAAAAAAAAAAA